GGCAGUUCCCCGGUGACGCACCCCAGAAUCGGGCUCCCUCCUUUGUUUCCGGGUGCGUCACCUGAGAUCCACA
Myotis davidii is the source of this 73-nucleotide non-coding RNA. The record is from Rfam. NCBI's taxonomy places the organism in Eukaryota, Metazoa, Chordata, Mammalia, Chiroptera, Vespertilionidae.